The sequence is a vault RNA, 109 nucleotides long. Its record names the gene Vault. It matches the Rfam family "Vault RNA". Rfam says of the family: This family of RNAs are found as part of the enigmatic vault ribonucleoprotein complex. The record is from Ensembl.
GCGCUGGUUUAGCUCAGGGGUUACUUCAAUGCAGAAUUCUCUCUUUCAGAGAUCCCCGCAAACCUCCCCCGAAAGGGGGAUCGAACCCCGGGCGCUGUCCAGCGUUUUA